This 1929-nucleotide ribosomal RNA is filed under the name Homalodisca vitripennis (glassy-winged sharpshooter). Its description in RNAcentral is "small subunit ribosomal RNA". It matches the Rfam family "Eukaryotic small subunit ribosomal RNA". The record is from RNAcentral. Lineage: Eukaryota; Metazoa; Arthropoda; Insecta; Hemiptera; Cicadellidae.
UCCCUGGUUGAUCCUGCCAGUAGUCAUAUUGCUUGUCUCAAAGAUUAAGCCAUGCAAGUCUCAGUACAAGCCACCAUUAAGCGAAACCGCAAAAGGCUCAUUAAAUCAGUUAUGGUUCCUUGGAUCGUACAAUCCAUUACUUGGAUAACUGUGGUAAUUCUAGAGCUAAUACAUGCAAACAGAAUCCCGACCAGAGAUGGAAGGGACGCUUUUAUUAGAUCAAAACCAAUCGGGGCACCAGCCCGCACUUCUUGGUGACUCUGAAUAACUUUCAGCUGAUCGCACGUCCUCGUACCGGCGACGCAUCUUUUCAAAUGUCUGACUUAUCAACUGUCGAUGGUAGAUUCUGCGCCUACCAUGGUUGUAACGGGUAACGGGGAAUCAGGGUUCGAUUCCGGAGAGGGAGCCUGAGAAACGGCUACCACAUCCAAGGAAGGCCAGCAGGCGCGCAAAUUACCCACAGUCCCGGCACGGGGAGGUAGUGACGAAAAAAAUAACGAUACGGGACUCAUCCGAGGCCCCGUAAUCGGAAUGAGUACACUUUAAAUCCUUUAACGAGUACCAAUUGGAGGGCAAGUCUGGUGCCAGCAGCCGCGGUAAUUCCAGCUCCAAUAGCGUAUAUUAAAGUUGUUGCGGUUAAAAAGCUCGUAGUUGGAUCUGUGUCUUACGAUGUCGGUUCAUCGCUCGCGGUGUUAACUGACAAUGUCCUGUGGGACGUCCUGCCGGUGGCGGUCCGGGCUCCCGGCGGUGUGUAGGGUCCGCCUGAAGCAUCACGAGGGUUCCGGCCGCCGAUUCAAUCCCGCCGCGGUGCUCUUGACUGAGUGUCGAGGUGGGCCGGCACGUUUACUUUGAACAAAUUAGAGUGCUUAAAGCAUGCUGAUUUCUGCCUGAAUACUGUGUGCAUGGAAUAAUGGAAUAGGACUUCGGUUCUAUUUUGUUGGUUUUUAAGAAUCCGAAGUAAUGAUUAAUAGGGACAGGCGGGGGCAUUCGUAUUGCGACGUUAGAGGUGAAAAUUCUUGGAUCGUCGCAAGACGUACCUAAGCGAAAGCAUUUGCCAAGUAUGUCCUCGUUAAUCAAGAACGAAAGUUAGAGGUUCGAAGGCGAUCAGAUACCGCCCUAGUUCUAACCAUAAACGAUGCCAGCCAGCGAUCCGCCGAAGUUCCUCCGAUGGACUCGGCGGGCAGCUUCCGGGAAACCAAAGCUUUUGGGUUCCGGGGGAAGUAUGGUUGCAAAGCUGAAACUUAAAGGAAUUGACGGCAGGGCACCACCAGGAGUGGAGCCUGCGGCUUAAUUUGAACUCAACACGGGAAACCUCACCAGGCCCGGACACCGGAAGGAUUGACAGAUUGAUAGCUCUUUCUUGAUUCGGUGGGUGGUGGUGCAUGGCCGUUCUUAGUUGGUGGAGCGAUUUGUCUGGUUAAUUCCGAUAACGAACGAGACUCUAGCCUGCUAACUAGGCGUCUCCGGUAUCCACAAUAGUGCUACCGGCGAAUUAAAUUCUUUCUUAGAGGGACAGGCGGCUUCUAGCCGCACGAGACUGAGCAAUAACAGGUCUGUGAUGCCCUUAGAUGUCCUGGGCCGCACGCGCGCUACACUGAAGGAAUCAGCGUGUCUUCCCUGGCCGAAAGGCCCGGGUAACCCGUUGAACCUCCUUCGUGCUAGGGAUUGGGGCUUGCAAUUGUUCCCCAUGAACGAGGAAUUCCCAGUAAGCGCGAGUCAUAAGCUCGCGUUGAUUACGUCCCUGCCCUUUGUACACACCGCCCGUCCGCUACUACCGAUUGAAUGAUUUAGUGAGGUCUUCGGGACUGGUGCGCGGCGAUCGCCUCGUGCGGUCGCCGAUGUUGCCGGAAAGAUGACCAAACUUGAUCAUUUAGAGGAAGUAAAAGUCGUAACAAGGUUUCCGUAGGUGAACCUGCGGAAGGAUCAUUA